GACGAACGCUGGCGGCGUGCUUAACACAUGCAAGUCGAACGGAAAGGCCCUGCUUUUGUGGGGUUCUCGAGUGGCGAACGGGUGAGUAACACGUGAGUAACCUGCCCUUGACUUUGGGAUAACUUCAGGAAACUGGGGCUAAUACCCGAUAUGAGCUCCUGCUGCAUAGUGGGGGUUGGAAAGUUUCGGCUGUUGGGGAUGGACUCGCGGCUUAUCAGUUUGUUGGUGGGGUAGUGGCUUACCAAGGCUUUGACGGGUAGCCGGCAUGAGAGGGUGACCGGGGACAAUAGGACUGCGAUAGGGCCCAGACUAAUACAGGAGGCAGCAGUGGGGAAUAUUGAACAAUAAGCGGAAGCAUGAAGAAGCAACGCCGCGGGCGGGAUGACGGCCUACGAGUUGUAAAACGAAUUCGCCUGUAACGAAGAGUGAGUGACGGUAAUGGGUAAAGAAGCACCGGAUAACUACGUG
This 468-nucleotide ribosomal RNA is filed under the name uncultured bacterium. Its description in RNAcentral is "partial 16S ribosomal RNA". It matches the Rfam family "Bacterial small subunit ribosomal RNA", at positions 28 to 507 of the family's 1533-position model. The record is from RNAcentral.